Molecule: long non-coding RNA, 1028 nt
Filed under: Numida meleagris (helmeted guineafowl)
Lineage: Eukaryota; Metazoa; Chordata; Aves; Galliformes; Numididae
Description: lncRNA (ENSNMEG00000002827.1)
Source: RNAcentral
CCAUGUUCUAGUUUAGAGUUGGCAAAAUAGGUUUAAUCACACCUGCCUCAUUAGGACCUUCAAGCGCACUUUUGCUGGUAUCAUUCAAAUGAUCUCAGUUGUUUGGUAUAAGGUGUUAUUCUUGCUCGUGUAUAAGAGGCAGCACGAAGGAAGAAUGGGUGAAAAACUUUGAACUCCAAAUAACAUUAAAGGACUGAGAAAUAGAACUGGUUGGAGGGUCUGGAUUUCCCUUGUGGUUUGGCUUUCAAAUCCAGAAUUCUGAUGUCUGAGAGAUGGCAUAAAUCAAAGCCAUCCAUCAGAUUACAGACAACUCUGAAUAUCAAAUAGGUUAUUGUUUAAAGAAAAAUUAAAAGAAGUAAGAACAAAAGAAAGCUGCCCGUUAAAUCCUGCAAGUGGUUAAAAAUGGUCAUUAGGAACAUUUGCAAAUGUGUAGCUUAGCUUAAGUUAGAUGGACAUAAUUUUGAUUAGGCCGUGAUUUUUUUUUUUUUAAAUACAUUACAGGCUGGCUAUGAAUAGUAAUGUUUUCAUUUUUUAAAUACAUUGAGUCUCUCAGCAUCGGUCUUCUCCUGCCGUAUUUUGAUCUUUGGAGUAUGCAUAAGGAUGGAAAAAUAAAGAAAGACAGAAAAAUACAAAGAGUUGUGGGACACACUGCAAAGAGGGAGAAAAUAGAACCUCUGGGAUUCUUCUUUUUCCCUACAAAGUGUUAUGGAUGAAGGCUAUGGAGAAAAUCUUCCCGGCCGGAUGCUGUCUACAGCAUGGGUUUCCCUGGUUCAGAGUUGCACCUCCCACCAGUUGUGUGACCUUCAGGCUAUGGGUGAGUCUGUGAUGACUUUCUUCCAUCUACCCAAAAGCUCCAUCCCUAAUGCGUAAAGUCUUCCCAGUGAUAAAGAAUAUCCAAGCUCGGAUGGAGAAACAGAUACUUUGCUAUGAAAGAUUCAACGCAAUUGCAAUUUUUUUUGACAAAUGGAGUUUUUCUGAUCUUCCUGGGAGUUGUAAUGGCCAUGGCUGGUCUGAGUCCUCAGUGUUAU